GAAGGGAGCCAGGAGGAGCUUCUCCUUCAAAACCCUAACCUACUAAAUUCAAUCAAAUUGAAGGUGAAACCUGUGGUAAUCCAAUGCAUGAGUUAGGAAUGUUCAUUCCCUAAGUGAAUUUCACAUCAAAAUGUGGUUUUGAUGGGCACGAAGAAAGAAGAAGGCGCAAGUCACUCGAAGUUACAAGCAUCUCAAGAUCACGGUAAAUUCCAUGUAUAAUUACGGCGCUCUCGGACCGAACACACACACAAUGUCGACUUUUAUGCGCU
This 269-nucleotide long non-coding RNA is filed under the name Helianthus annuus (common sunflower). RNAcentral describes it as "sRNA HanXRQr2_Chr11g0505291". Lineage: Eukaryota; Viridiplantae; Streptophyta; Magnoliopsida; Asterales; Asteraceae. The record is from RNAcentral.